UAGCUUGCUAAGUUUGAUGGCGACCGGCGCACGGGUGAGUAACACGUAUCCAACCUGCCGAUGACUCGGGGAUAGCCUUUCGAAAGAAAGAUUAAUACCCGAUGGCAUAGUUCUUCCGCAUGGUAGAACUAUUAAAGAAUUUCGGUCAUCGAUGGGGAUGCGUUCCAUUAGGUUGUUGGCGGGGUAACGGCCCACCAAGCCUUCGAUGGAUAGGGGUUCUGAGAGGAAGGUCCCCCACAUUGGAACUGAGACACGGUCCAAACUCCUACGGGAGGCAGCAGUGAGGAAUAUUGGUCAAUGGACGAGAGUCUGAACCAGCCAAGUAGCGUGAAGGAUGACUGCCCUAUGGGUUGUAAACUUCUUUUAUACGGGAAUAAAGUGAGGCACGUGUGCCUUUUUGUAUGUACCGUAUGAAUAAGGAUCGGCUAACUCCGUGCCAGCAGCCGCGGUAAUACGGAGGAUCCGAGCGUUAUCCGGAUUUAUUGGGUUUAAAGGGAGCGUAGGCGGACGCUUAAGUCAGUUGUGAAAGUUUGCGGCUCAACCGUAAAAUUGCAGUUGAUACUGGGUGUCUUGAGUACAGUAGAGGCAGGCGGAAUUCGUGGUGUAGCGGUGAAAUGCUUAGAUAUCACGAAGAACUCCGAUUGCGAAGGCAGCCUGCUGGACUGUAACUGACGCUGAU
RNAcentral lists this ribosomal RNA (679 nucleotides) under uncultured Bacteroidales bacterium. RNAcentral's name for it is "bacterial SSU rRNA". It matches the Rfam family "Bacterial small subunit ribosomal RNA", at positions 76 to 750 of the family's 1533-position model. The record is from RNAcentral. Lineage: Bacteria; Pseudomonadati; Bacteroidota; Bacteroidia; Bacteroidales.